This 564-nucleotide long non-coding RNA is filed under the name Cricetulus griseus (Chinese hamster). RNAcentral's name for it is "lncRNA (ENSCGRG00015030028.1)". The record is from RNAcentral. Lineage: Eukaryota; Metazoa; Chordata; Mammalia; Rodentia; Cricetidae.
GUCAGGUUAGGCAGUCAAACCUGGGCCUUGGGAGAAGCUUGAAGGAGGCUGAACUGUAGAAGAAUGGAAGGGCAUGCCAGGCCAGAAACACUAACUGUUCUGGAGCAAAGACUGGUGGAGAGUCUAACUAUGUAGAGUAUCGUUCUGUGUUUUCGAGGUUUUGGAGGGAGAGAGAAAGAUUUCGGGCAAGUGACACACUCCACUUGAUCUUAGCCAAAAGGCCGAGAAGCAAUGCAAAUGACACACUCAGCGUUGGCACAAGUCUGCCUUGGAAGUUCAGGGUUGUGGUGCUUGACCUAAGGAUUCAAUGGAGAUCCUGCAGGGUGGAAAGAGAGAAUUGACUCCUGACUCCUGGCCUCUAUAUGUGCACCAUGGAAUGUGGAGACCUUCUUCAUGUUGCUACAAGAUGGGGAAUCCAAGUUGACCAGGAACUUCUGGGGAGUGUCAUUUGAACUAAAAGAGAAAGAAAUCGUUGCGCUCGUGGUCGGAAAAGAAGGGGCUGGAGAGGUGGGCAGGCAUCGAAGAGAGUAUAAGGAACACACUGCUCUUGUAGAAGACCCGAGU